Molecule: transfer RNA, 71 nt
Filed under: Yasminevirus sp. GU-2018
Lineage: Varidnaviria; Bamfordvirae; Nucleocytoviricota; Megaviricetes; Imitervirales; Mimiviridae
Rfam family: tRNA
About the family: Transfer RNA (tRNA) molecules are approximately 80 nucleotides in length. Their secondary structure includes four short double-helical elements and three loops (D, anti-codon, and T loops). Further hydrogen bonds mediate the characteristic L-shaped molecular structure. tRNAs have two regions of fundamental functional importance: the anti-codon, which is responsible for specific mRNA codon recognition, and the 3' end, to which the tRNAs corresponding amino acid is attached (by aminoacyl-tRNA synthetases). tRNAs cope with the degeneracy of the genetic code in two manners: having more than one tRNA (with a specific anti-codon) for a particular amino acid; and 'wobble' base-pairing, i.e. permitting non-standard base-pairing at the 3rd anti-codon position.
Source: Rfam by way of RNAcentral
GACCACAUAGUUUAAUGGUAAAACAAAAAUCUCCAAAAUUUUCGUCCUGUGUUCGAUUCACAGUGUGGUCA